Molecule: ribosomal RNA, 444 nt
Filed under: uncultured bacterium
Lineage: Bacteria
Description: partial 16S ribosomal RNA
Rfam family: Bacterial small subunit ribosomal RNA
Source: RNAcentral
GUGAGGAAUAUUGCGCAAUGGAGGCAACUCUGACGCAGCCAUGCCGCGUGCAGGAAGACGGCCCUCUGGGUUGUAAACUGCUUUUAUCUGGGAAGAAAAAGGCCAUGCGUGGCAAAUUGCCGGUACCAGAUGAAUAAGCACCGGCUAACUCCGUGCCAGCAGCCGCGGUAAUACGGAGGGUGCGAGCGUUGUCCGGAUUUAUUGGGUUUAAAGGGUGCGUAGGCGGCUGAUUAAGUCAGCGGUGAAAGACUUCGGCUUAACCGGAGCAGUGCCGUUGAUACUGGUUGGCUUGAGUGUCGGAGGAGUACAUGGAAUUGAUGGUGUAUCGGUGAAAUGCAUAGAUACCAUCAGGAACACCGAUAGCGAAGGCAUUGUACUGGCCGACAACUGACGCUGAUGCACGAAAGUGUGGGGAUCGAACAGGAUUAGAUACCCGGGUAGUCC